This 253-nucleotide unclassified non-coding RNA is filed under the name uncultured Caryophanales bacterium. RNAcentral's name for it is "uncultured Bacillales bacterium contains 16S-23S intergenic spacer region". It matches the Rfam family "Bacterial small subunit ribosomal RNA", at positions 524 to 776 of the family's 1533-position model. The record is from RNAcentral. Lineage: Bacteria; Bacillati; Bacillota; Bacilli; Caryophanales.
UACGUAGGUGGCAAGCGUUGUCCGGAAUUAUUGGGCGUAAAGCGCGCGCAGGCGGUCCUUUAAGUCUGAUGUGAAAGCCCACGGCUCAACCGUGGAGGGUCAUUGGAAACUGAGGGACUUGAGUGCAGAAGAGGAAAGUGGAGUUCCACGUGCAGCGGUGAAAUGCGUAGAGAUGUGGAGUAACACCAGUGGCGAUGGCGACUUUCUGGUCUGUAACUGACGCUGAGGCGCGAAAGCGUGGAGAGCAAACAGG